UGUUUUAACUUAAAGCAUUUUAGUUUCUCUCAUUCCUGGCAAACCAACCAUCAGGAGACUCAGUCAUGGAAUAAAUUCUAGGGGCUGCACAUGCCAGUGGAUGGAGCUGCCCCAAGGCCUCCUUGAUUGCUCUGGUGUGGACCAUCACCGUGUUUGCGGCUGAGGACAGCUGAACUCCUGUUUCAUGAUCUAGUUAUAUAAAAAGGAAUCCUAACUUGUGUUAGAAGGAAUGAUUCCCUGAGGAGAAGGGAAAGAGUUUAUGCAGAAGGAACUUGCAUCUGUGACAUGCUGAGGCCAACCGGGAUGUGAUUGCUGUGCAUAAUGACUGCGUGCAAGAAGCAAGGAGAAGGCAGCUGUGUGGAACAGUGGAGGACUCCUGCAGUGCUGUCAAAGCCAGCAAGGCUAGAGGUGGUGUGUCGUGUAAGUACUGUUUGAGCUCUGAAGGGAUCAAACUGAUUUUCUUCCUGGUUUUGUUCCCUUUAG
Molecule: long non-coding RNA, 483 nt
Organism: Pezoporus flaviventris
Lineage: Eukaryota; Metazoa; Chordata; Aves; Psittaciformes; Psittacidae
Exons: 3
Source: RefSeq, a predicted model, not a curated record